GUGAGGAAUAUUGGUCAAUGGGCGAGAGCCUGAACCAGCCAAGUCGCGUGAAGGAAGAAGGAUCUAUGGUUCGUAAACUUCUUUUGCAGGGGAAUAAAGUGCGGGACGUGUCCUGUUUUGUAUGUACCCUGAGAAUAAGGAUCGGCUAACUCCGUGCCAGCAGCCGCGGUAAUACGGAGGAUCCGAGCGUUAUCCGGAUUUAUUGGGUUUAAAGGGUGCGUAGGUGGGUUGAUGAGUCAGCGGUGAAAGUUUGCAGCUUAACUGUAAAAAUGCCGUUGAAACUGUCGGACUUGAGUGUAAAUGAGGUAGGCGGAAUGCGUGGUGUAGCGGUGAAAUGCAUAGAUAUCACGCAGAACUCCGAUUGCGAAGGCAGCUUACUAAGCUACAACUGACACUGAAGCACGAAAGCGUGGGGAUCAAACAGGAUUAGAAACCCGAGUAGUCC
Molecule: ribosomal RNA, 445 nt
Filed under: uncultured bacterium
Lineage: Bacteria
Description: partial 16S ribosomal RNA
Rfam family: Bacterial small subunit ribosomal RNA
Source: RNAcentral